GUCAAUUGUGCGUGUGCUAACUUUCUCUCGCCGCAGAAAUAGACUACUACUGUAUUUUUAGCAUUUUUCUUUCACCUCAUAUUUGGUGUCAAAUGCUGAUACUAUGUGGGAAUGCAGUGAGAUUAACUGCGAGAAAGUUAAACAACAACGGUGACAACUUACAGCACACCUUCUGCCAAGCAGACUCUCCAAGGCCUCGGUUUCCUGGAGGCUCAGCAGGGAGCUCCACAUGCUCUCAGUCUUGCUUUUAGACCCUCGGCUCAUGGUGCACCUUGAAGCUCACGAGUGUCUCUGGAUUAGUGGUGUCAAAACUUUUUCCACUGAGGGCCACAUACUGGAAAAUGAAAGGAUGCAAGGGCCACUUUGAUAUUUUGUAAACCAACACAUGUAGAUAUGCUAAGAAGUUAUAUAUAUUUCAGGAAAUAAUUGCAUCUCAGCUUUGUGAUAUGGGUGAAAAAGUAGUAUGAACAUCCUUUUCCCCCAAUUUUGCUGUUGAAUGUUCCAAAUAUUUCAACUUUUUCUUAAAUUUCAUACAUUUUCUCCUUGUAAUAUUUUGACUUUAUUCCCAUAAUAUUAUAACAAGGGAUGUCCGAUAUUGGCUUUUUUGCCAAUAACCAAUAUGUUGAUAUUGUCCAGCAUCAACGGAUAUUGUCCGAUAUCAACCGAUACCGUUUUGUGUAACAUCACAUAUCAUGUCAUGGAAUUAACACAUUGUGGUGACCCAAAAUAUUGUUUUAGACAUUUUAUACAUUUCUUUUGGAGAUUAAUAAAGUAUCUAUCUACCUACCUACCUACCUACCUACCUACCUACCAAGUGUACUUUCGUUUCCUGGUCAUGAGGUUGUUGUAGCCACUUAGCUAUUGCUAAAGAGUUGUUGCUUGUUGUUGAGUGGUGAGUAAACUGAUUGGUGUCAACUACCUCAACUCCUGUCUCGUUGUGAAUCGCAUCUCCACAUUUGGUGACCCUUGACGUUGGUAAAAAUGUCGACUGACAACAGAGACAGCGAGACCGUGCCGACGCCGCUACAAGUUAACGAGUUAGCGAACGUAUCUGCGCAACACCCACGCCCGUGGUUUCAACAUAUCAAGCCAAGUAUUUCCACGUAUUGGCACCACUGUAUGGCUCGAUGACGGCAAGUACAGGAGCCCAUAGGCCCA
This is a long non-coding RNA of Dunckerocampus dactyliophorus (ringed pipefish), 1158 nucleotides long. RefSeq lists it as uncharacterized. The transcript has 3 exons. Lineage: Eukaryota; Metazoa; Chordata; Actinopteri; Syngnathiformes; Syngnathidae. The record is from RefSeq and is a predicted model, not a curated record.